Long non-coding RNA from Triticum aestivum (bread wheat), 8540 nucleotides. RefSeq lists it as uncharacterized. The record is from RefSeq and is a predicted model, not a curated record. The transcript is spliced from 6 exons. NCBI's taxonomy places the organism in Eukaryota, Viridiplantae, Streptophyta, Magnoliopsida, Poales, Poaceae.
GUCCCUUUCUCAUUCCCCACGCGCGCCGCCAUGGGCACCCGCCGGCGGCAUCCUCCCUGCCCGCCGCGCCAUACUGCCUCCCGCUCGACCCUGUUAGCCCGCCGCCUCGCACGCUCGAAACCUCAUCUCCUCCCAGACGGGGGAGACAGGGCGGGCGCCAUGACCAAGCAUUCCCCGGAGGCACUGGUGCUUAUCUCCCGUGGAGGCUUUCAGGGUCGGGUUCCCGGCGAGCGGCGUCAUCAGCUCCGGCACUAACCUCGAGUGCCCAGUUUCUUGCUCCUCCCUGCUAACAGACAGACUUCACUAGAGUAUCACCUGUGCAUCUUUCACCUUUUUUUUCUCUCAUCCUCGUAGUCCUAGAUGAGCAUGACAGAAGAAAAUGACGAGAUUGCUACCAAGACAAGGCUGCUGUCACUUGAACUGUUGGAGGGAUUUUUAGACGUGCGCCCGUGCUCAUGUGCCUCCAUGUGUGUCUCUCUAAUCAGAUCUAGGAGCUGCCUCCCUAUGCAGCAGGGGCCAAACUAUGUGCCACUGUAUGCAUAGUCAGAUCUCUAAUUAGAUGACCUGCCUCCACUGUUGUACGCAUGUUAAGCUCGGACAUUUAAUUCCAUCUGUCACGAGCCAUCCAAAGCAAAGAGAGGAUGAGAUGAACUCAACAAUUUCCAAAUUCGACCCUUAUUUGAUUAGGCAAGAUACCUCCAUGAUGAGUAUAUGUGUGCCAAUGAGCAGCUGGUGCAGAUGGUUCUAGCUUAACUCAUGAAUAUGAGAACAAUAUAUUGAGGCUGUGAAGAAGGCUGCCAUCGAGCCAAAAGGCAAGCACAGCAAGGAUUAAUGUGUGCCGUAGAGGUUAUCCAAAAGAACAAUGUCAUUUCGUUAAUUAAUUCCCUAUACAAUUUCACUUGCACAUGCAUCUUUCUGACAAAAUAAAAACUGCACUACUCUCUCUCCCUCUCUCUCUUACCUAAUCUAUCGAAAGUACUAAUUGUGAAUUUCAUCUCUAUUUUUCUCCAAAAACUUUGCAUAGUAUCCCUGGUAGGGCUAGGGUUCCUACCGGCUCUACUCCGUAGGUUAUACGGGCAGAAUAGCGGGGGUUGGGGGCGAGGGCGGCGGCUCCGGCGUGUUGGCGCCGUCGUGAGGGAGAAGAAGGCCGGCGGCGGCUAGGGUUUGGUGCGGCUAGGGUUCCGACUCCUCUGGAGCCGGGCAAUAUGAUAGAACUAUCUUUAUUGCUUAAUCUCAAACGAUAUCUUACAACUAGUAUUUAUAACUUUAGCCUAAGAUAACUUUCCUAAAAUAAUUUUCCUAAGAUAACUUGUGGGUCAAGCCCCUAAUACUAAGGCCCGGUGGGCCUCUUUCGGUUAUAGACCAAACCGGUCAUAACAUCUCUCCCCGCCUGCGCAAACAGCUCGUCCUCGAGCUGAAAAUCUGGAUAGUGUUGGCGGAAUUCUUCACGCUGCUCCCAAGUAGCCUCCUCCUACGGAAGGCCUGUCCACUGAACGAGAAUGAACGAGACGCCACGACGAAGUUGUGCCUGCAACACCUUUGCCGGCUCUGGAAGAAUGCGACCAUCGGCGAUGGGAGGAAGCGCCGGAGGAGCCGCCGGUGGCUCGCCACGGAAAGGCUUGAGCAGCCCCACAUGGAAGACGUCGUGGAUGCGAGCGCGGGCUGGAAGCUGAAGACGAGAGUCCACCUUCCCAAUGCGCUCCAAGAUAGGGAAGGGCCCGGCGUAGCGCGGGCCGAGCUUGCGCCUUGCUCGCGGGUCCAGUGACUGCGUAGAGCGGUGGAGAAGACGCAGCCACACCCAAUCACCCACCGCGAACUCCGCCUCGCGAUGAUGAUCGUCGUAGUAGUGCUUGGCCAACUGCUGGGCCUGAAGGAGACACUGACGAACCUCAGCAAGCACCUCGUCACGAGUGCGGAUGAGUUCACCCGCACCCUCCAUCCGAGCUGUCUCCGGAUCCACCGGAAGGAUAGGUGGGGGUGGUCGCCCAUAGACCACCUCAAAUGGCGUAGCGCGCAGGGCGGAGUGAUAAGAGAUGUUGUAGCAGUACUCCGCCCAAGAAAGCCAGUCCACCCAAGCGCGAGGCCGAUCACCUGUCACACAACGCAAAUACAUGGCAAUGACCUUGUUAACCACCUCGGACUGUCCGUCCGUCUGAGGAUGGAACGCCGUACUCAGUCGGAGCUGGACACCCGCCAUCCUGAAGAGGUCGCGCCAUACAUGGCCCGUGAAAACUGGGUCCCGAUCACUGACGAUCGAAGUAGGAAAUCCGUGUAGACGGACGAUGCAGUCGAAGAAGGCCCGGGCCACUGAUGCCGCCGUAUAUGGAUGGCCGAGCGCGAUGAAGUGGGUGUACUUGGAGAAGCGGUCGACCACCAUGAGGAUGACCGACUUGCCACCCACCUUGGGCAGGCCCUCAAUGAAGUCCAUGGAUAUAUCCGCCCAGACCUGAGAUGGCACCUCCAAGGGCUGGAGUAACCCGGCCGGCCUCAGUGUCUCUGUCUUGUUGCGCUGGCAUGUCUGACAAGACCGAACCCAGUCGCGGACCAGGGCGCGAUCGCCAGGGAUGUAGAAGUCGGCGCGAAGACGAUGGAGGGUUUUCUGCAUACCCUCAUGGCCCGCCGAAUGGGCGAGCUGUAACACCUGGUGACGGAGAUCAUCAUGCGCCGGAACAAAGACCCGACGCCCAUGUAGGAGCAGUCCGUCAGAGAAGCGCCAAGGCUCCUCCAGGUCGCCGGUCGUGAGCUGCUGCUGAAGACGGACGACGUCGUCGGCCGUCGUAGUGGCGCGGCGAAUGUCGACGAAGGGGCCGAAUGUCGGCCCAGAGCGUAUGCACAGGGCCACCCCGGCGGACUCGUCGGUGGAGGAAACAAAGUCGGAGUCACGACGGGACAGUGCGUCGGUCACUGUGUUAAGGAGGCCCGGUCGAUACUCGACGGAAAAGUCGAAGCCGAAGAGCUUGCUGAUCCACUGAUGCUGCGGCACGGUCGACAGCCGUUGAUCCAGCAAGAACUUUAGGCUGUAGUGGUCGGUGCGAAUGAGGAAGGACCGGCCCCACAAGUACGGCCGCCAAUGACGAACGGCCUGUACAAGACCAAUGAGCUCCCGCUCGUAUGCCGCCAGCUUAAGGUGAUGCGGAGCGAAAGGACGGGUGAAGAAGGCGAGGGGUCCAUCGCCCUGAUAAAGCACGGCGCCGAACCCUGCGCCUGAGGCAUCACAGUCCACCACGAACGGGCGGUUGAAGUCGGGCAUCUGGAGGACGGGGCCCGUCGUGAGGGCCCCCUUGAGGGCCUCGAAUGCCGUUGUCGCCUCGUUGUCCCAGGCGAAAGCGUCGCGGCGAAGCAACUGCGUGAGGGGCGUCGCGAUGAGCCCGAACUCCCGAAUAAAUUUCCGGUAGUAGCCACCGAGGCCGAGGAACCCGCGGAGAGCCCGCGGCGAGUGAGGCGUCGGCCAUGCGGAGACGGCUGCCACCUUAUCGGCGUCCAUAGCCACCCCGUCGGCGGAGAUGACGUGGCCCAAGUAGGCCACCGAAGGCAUCCCGAAUGAGCACUUCGAGCGCUAAAGGUGGAGGUGGUGCGCUCGAAGCUCGUUGAAGACGAUGGCGACGUGCUGGAGGUGCUCGGCCUAAGACGCGCUGUAGAUCAGAAUAUCAUCAAAGAAAACGAGCACAAACCAGCGUAAGUAGGGCCUGAGGACGUCGUUCAUUAGAGCCUGAAAGGUCGCCGGGGCAUUGGUGAGGCCAAAGGGCAUCACCAAGAACUCGAAGUGGCCGUGAUGAGUCCGAAACGCCGUCUUGGCGAUGUCAUCUGGGUGCAUGCACACCUGGUGGUACCCCGACCAAAGGUCGAGCUUGGUGAAGAAGCGCGCCCCGUGUAGCUCGUCGAGGAGCUCGUCGACCACCGGAAUAGGGAACUUAUCCGUAAGUGUGAUAGCAUUAAGGGCACGAUAGUCGAUGCAGAAACGCCAUGUGCCGUCUGACUUGCGGACGAGAAGCACCGGCGCAGUGAACGGCGAAGUGGAGAGCCGGAUGAUGUCGGCUACGAGCAUGAGCGCACACUGCCGCUCCAACUCAUCCUUCUGCAACUGCGGAUAGCGGUAAGGGCGGACCGCCACCGGCGCGGAGCCUGGCAGAAGAUGUAUACGGUGAUCAUACGUGCGGGCGGGCGGCAGCCCCUGUGGCUCGGUGAAGAUGUCAUCAUGCUGCUGUAGGAGGCUCUCCAAGAGUGGGUGCUCGGCCGUUGCGGUGGGCGCGGCCAGCUGGAGGGGUGGUGAGGGUGCGGCACCCCCAAUGCCGUCCCACCGAAUGCGGCGGCCCAAUCGCCAGAAGGUCAUUGUCAGCGCAUCGAAAUCCCAGAGAAUAGGACCAAGAGUGCGCAAGAAGUCAACGCCGAGGAUGAAGUCGAAGCAGCCCAAGUCGAUGCUGGCACAUGUGAUGGAGAAGUGCUCGCCGCCGAUAGUGAUGGGCACGUCACGGGCGAGCCCAUGGCAGUGGAGACGGUCGCCAUUAGCGACUGUGACUCACAACUGCUCGCCGCUGGUGGGCUGUAAUGCAAGGCGCCACAUGGUGGUCUCUGGCAGGAAGUUAUGAGUGGAUCCCAUGUCCACGAGGGCCACUAAGCGCUCGCCCUGGAUCAUGACCGGUAAGAGCAUCGUCCGUUCAUCACGGAUACCGGCCAGCGCGUGUAGGGACACCACGAGGGCGGUGGCCGGGGCGGGCAAGGGCGCCGCUGCGGUCUCCGCAAGGGCUGGGGCGCCGAGGCCAUCCUCCAGAGUCUCCUCGCCCGUCUCGUCUGACGUCUCCAAGUAGAAGAGGCGGGGACAGACAUGGCCCGGUGCAUAGGGCGCAUCACAGUUGAAGCACAAGCCCAGGCGCCGGUGUUCCAGCUGUUCCGCCUGAGUGAGACGCCUGAAUGGCCGCGUCGGAGCCGGGGUGGCCGCCGGGGCGGCCGUGGAUGGCGUCGGUGCUGCCGGAGAUGGCCGAAUAGGCUGUCGGCCCCCACGUGGCGCGGAUGGACGCGUCAAGGCCUGGGCGCGUUGUUCGAACGCUCGGGCAUAGUACAUGGCCGUCUGAAGGUCUUGGGGCCCCUUCAUCUCGACGUCCACGCGAAUGUGGUCGGGAAGGCCACCGAUGAAAAGCUCCGCCCGCUGUAAGGCCGUCACACCGGGCGCGUGGCACGCCAGGGCCUGGAAGCGGUCGGCGAAGUCUUGUACCGUGGAGGUGAAUGGCAGGCGGCCCAACUCGGCCAGGCGGCUCCCGCGGACCGGUGGCCCGAAAUGAAGAAGGCACAACUCCCGGAAACGAUCCCACGUGGGCAUGCCGCCCUCGUCCUGCUCGAGGCCGUAGUACCAUGUCUGGGCGGCCCCGCGGAGAUGGUAGGAAGCCAGCCAAGUGCGCUCCGACGCAGGCGUGCGCUGUCCGCGGAAGAACUGGUCACACUGGUUGAGCCAGUUAAGCGGGUCGUCGGAGCCGUCGUAUGUGGCGAAGUCGAUCUUGGCGAACCGGGGCGGCUGCUGGUGUGGCGCGCCUUGGCCCAGUACCUCGGCGGUGCGGAGGGCGGAUGAUGGUCCGCGGUCCAUGUGGGAAAGCCCGGCUUAGUUACCGGUGGCACCCGACGCCUCGGGCUGCAAGGGAAAACCGGACGGUGGACGAGCCUCCGGGUAGGCCGAGGACGGCCCGUGGAGCCAGCCGGGAAGUGGCGAGGGUGACGGCGGGAAGCGGACCUCUUGGAUCGGAAGCCCUCUCGGCGACGACCGGCCCAGGUUAGGGCUGGGCGGGGGCGGUGGAGGACCCUGCUCCAGGGCCGCUGGCAGGGAUGGCGCGGCGGAAGACGGCACAUCCGGCGCGGUCCAGGUGGGCCACUGCGGCCCCGUGGUGGCGGCGAGUGGUGCGGUUGGCGCAAGCUGCGGCGGCCAUGGUGGCCACAGCGGCGGCCACAGCGGCGGUGCGGCCGCCUGGGCUGGGAGCGCCGGGUAGCCUCCGGUGACGUCCCCCGGUACCGAGUACCACGGCAGCGCCUGCUGAGUUGCGGCCAUGGCUGGAUGGAGUGGUGGCGGCGGCCCGUAGGGACUCGCCAGGUAGAGACGGAUGCCUUGUACCGUGGCAACGAGGUCGGGGAGGACGCCGGCCAUUGCCUCCGUUGUGAGCUGCGUCUGCGGGGGAGGUGAUGGCGGCGGCGUUGGUUGGACGGGGGCUGGUAGCCGCCCGUGGCCCGGCGUGGUGCCGGGUGCCUGGAGGGGCGGCGCCGAGAGUGAUGCCGUGACGCCCGCCAGGAGCGAGGCCGUGGUGCCCGGCGUGGAGGCGGCGGCGGUGGAGGAGUUGGCGGCAGCGGCGGUGGUGGAGUAGACGGGUAGCGGCGGUGGUGGCGGCGGUGGAUGCGGAGGUGGAGAUGACAUGGUCGAAACCCGGGUACCUGAUACCAAACUGGUAGGGCUAGGGUUCCUACCGGCUCUACUCAGUAGGUUAUACGGGCAGAAUAGCGGGGGUUGGGGGCAAGGGCGGCGGCUCCGGCGUGUUGGCGCCGUCGCGAGGGAGAAGAAGGCCGGCGGCGGCUAGGGUUUUGUGCGGCUAGGGUUCCGGCUCCUCUGGAGCCGGGCAAUAUGAUAGAACUAUCUUUAUUGCUUAAUCUCAAAUGAUGUCUUACAACUAGUAUUUAUAACUUUAGCCUAAGAUAACUUUCCUAAAAUAAUUUGCCUAAGAUAACUUGUGGGUCAAGCCCCUAAUACUAAGGCCCGGUGGGCCUCUUUCGGUUAUAGACCAAACCGGUCAUAACAAUCCUAUCCACUGAAGUUUAUUACCAUGUGAUCAGAGAAAUUAAGAGGUAUAUGUGCAUAUUGUAAGAACAUGAUUAGUGGCACAUAUUGCACAAUUGAUUCUAUGUUGUAUCACCUAGUGUACAGCUUCCUUGACUUUAUUUUGUUCUCAGCCUAUGGCAUGUUAUUCUUCCAUUUACCCCUGUCUAUUUAUAGUUUGCAUUCCUAGUGAAAAGACCAAAUCAUUUACUUAGUUGCUUGUGGUCUGUUGUGGGUGGGUGAUGUUCACAUUCUAAAUUAGCAAUUAGUUGCUAGUGGGUGUUGUCCUUGCUGAAUGCUGACUUUAUGGAUUACAACUAGGACAAUGCACGUGCAUUGCCACGGGGCAAUAAAGACAAAGACACUGAUCAAUAUUAUGUGCCAUCUCCUUCUUCUUAGUAUAUCAUCAUCGCUCUUUAUUUUGUCCUAAAGCUGUAGAGAAAAACAAAACCUACAUGUGUUGAUAACCCCUCAAAUGUUCUUGUCCUUGCAAUUUGUAGAACACACCAAUUAUCGGAUUAGAAGAACCGUGCAACUAAUGAGCCAUGGCAAAUUGAUUUGGAGAACAGGGAUCAGGCGAACAUGGACCAAGUUGUAGUGUUCUACCUUUCCUAUGGUCCUCUUUGGUUGGUAGCAGUGAUGGUUCUCCCCAAGUCCUUAGUCACUUGCAAGCUGCUGCAAAAUGAAUUUUGUAUCAACAGGUGCAUUUUUUUGUCUUUUCUGAAUUUACAGGCUAAGUAAACAUUUGCAGGCUGUUUCUAUUUGCAACAAUGGUUCCUAUUGCCUAAUGAAAGCUACAAGAAGGGCCUUGUCCACUCAGAACAAUCAUAUUGAAGGUCAAAUUGAGCUUGCAACUAAUAAUAUGUUGUGUGCUGAUGUUUGCAAUGGUAUUUGGUUUCUGUACUCUGCAAGCCUCACGAUGCUAAUUGAAGUAUCCUUUAUCAUGUUGCAGAUGCUUAGCAAAUGCUUUCACUGCUACCUGUUGUUAAUCACCUGCUUUCUUACUCCUUUCAUUUAUGUAGGAAAGGCCUAAGAGAGUUAUCCCCCAUGGGAACGGAGACCAGGAUACAUUGUCUCAGGAUAUAUGCAGCAGAAAAAGUUUUUUAGAAAAACACAAAAAGGGAGCCACCUAGACGCUGCAUCCUUGCAACUCGUCAGUUGCUUUGAUGUUCAAGCUGGAGGAUGUUAUCCAAUGAGAUGAAGAUUGAAGGCUUUGAUGUAUUGUACGAGAAUGAAACAAGCAUAUUGGUGGAAGGCUGUGAGGAUGGAUAUCCUGUGAGGAUAGAUAUGUAGUUGCUCACUACAAGGAGCCAAGGCAGAUGAUGUGCCUCUGAGAUAAAUUCCAAAAAACAGAGUAAGAAAUUUUUGCUCCAAAAGUGAAUCAUAAUGUUUCCUCUAUUUAAUUAGUUACAUUAGCUUAUAGGAAACUUGAUUGAUAUUCUGUUGGUAACGUGAAAUCUGGAUAUGGGAGGGAUAACAGAUGAUGAUCCGUAAAACAAAUCCUAUCAGGCAGUUAGUUGGGAAAGGAUAAUGCCCUGUCAAAUCUGGAUAUUGGAGGGAUAACAGAAUGUUUGUUGGGAAAGAGUACCCUGUCAGAUAGUUGGUCGGGGAAGCCCAUGUCAGCCCCAAUAGAUUGUUGGUCGGGAAAAUUUACCAUGUCUGAUUGUCGGUCCGGAAAGGCCCGUAGCAACCGCAACGGACUAUCUGUCGGGAAAGGCCCAUGACUGGCCCAACAGAAUGUUGGUCGGGAAAG